RNAcentral lists this transfer RNA (62 nucleotides) under Rattus norvegicus (Norway rat). It matches the Rfam family "tRNA". Rfam says of the family: Transfer RNA (tRNA) molecules are approximately 80 nucleotides in length. Their secondary structure includes four short double-helical elements and three loops (D, anti-codon, and T loops). Further hydrogen bonds mediate the characteristic L-shaped molecular structure. tRNAs have two regions of fundamental functional importance: the anti-codon, which is responsible for specific mRNA codon recognition, and the 3' end, to which the tRNAs corresponding amino acid is attached (by aminoacyl-tRNA synthetases). tRNAs cope with the degeneracy of the genetic code in two manners: having more than one tRNA (with a specific anti-codon) for a particular amino acid; and 'wobble' base-pairing, i.e. permitting non-standard base-pairing at the 3rd anti-codon position. The record is from Rfam by way of RNAcentral. Lineage: Eukaryota; Metazoa; Chordata; Mammalia; Rodentia; Muridae.
GGGGAUUUAGCUCAGUGGUAGAGCGCUUGACUGGGAAGCUCAGGACCUGGGUUCAGUCCCCA